AAUCCCUUUACCCCGAGUAGAGAGGACGAUUAUUGGGCCUAAAGCCUCCGUAGCCGGUCAAGUAGGUUUCUCGUUAAAUCUAGCGAUCCAAUCGUUAGGCUGCGGGAAAUACCGCUAGACUAGGGGGCGGAAGAGGCCGACGGUACUCUUAGGGUAGGGGUGAAAUCCUAUAAUCCUAAGAGGACCACCAGUGGCGAAGGCGGUCGGCCAGAACGCGCCCGACGGUGAGGGAUGAAAGCUGGGGGAGCGAACCGGAUUAGAUACCCGGGUAGUCCCAGCUGUAAACGAUGCGGGCUAAGUGUCAGGAUGGCUUUUGAGUCAUUCUGGUGCUGCAGGGAAGCCGUUGAGCCCGCCGCCUGGGGUGUACGGCCGCAAGGCUGAAACUUAAAGGAAUUGGCGGGGGAGCACCACAAGGGGUGAAUCUUGCGGUUUCAAUUGGAGUCAACGCCGGGAACCUUACCAGGGGUGACAGUUGGAUGAAGGCCAGAUUAAAGGUCUUGUCUGACUAGCUGAGAGGAGGUGCAUGACCGUCACCAGUUCAUACCGUGAGGUAUCCCGUUAAGUCGGGAAACGAGCGAGACCCACACCCUUAGUUGCAAACGAGCUCCGAAAGGGGCUCAUGCCCUCUAAGGGGACCACCGACGAUAAGGCGGAGGAAGGAGUGGGCCACGGCAGGUCAGUAUGCCCCGAAUCUCAUGGGCCACACGUGAGCUGCAAUGGUUGGGACAAUGGGUUCUGACCCCGAAAGGGGAAAGCAAUCCCCAAACCCAGCCUCAGUUGGGAUCGAGGGCUGCAACUCGUCCUCGUGAACAUGGAAUCCCUAGUAAUCGCGUGUCAUCAGCGCGCGGUGAAUACGUCCCUGCUCCUUGCACACACCGCCCGUCGCUCCAACCGAGUUGGGUUUUGGUGAGGCACGGUCUAGUUGGCCGUGUCGAACCUAGGUUCAACAAGGGGGGAGAAGUCGUAACAAGG
Molecule: ribosomal RNA, 972 nt
Filed under: uncultured crenarchaeote
Lineage: Archaea; Thermoproteati; Thermoproteota
Description: bacterial SSU rRNA
Rfam family: Archaeal small subunit ribosomal RNA
Source: RNAcentral